CAGGUACCCAAAAUUUUAUCCGAAUCCAAAUUCAAACGGAGUGAAUUUAUUCGAUGCUGAAUGGAUAUAAUUUCGAACAUGAAUAUCAAAAACAAAAAUCCGAAUGAUUUGGAUUCGGGGAUGAAUUUGAUUGUACCCAAUCCGAACGCAAACCUGACUUGAACCCGACUCGAACCCAAAAUUAUUUUAAGUUGAGCUUGAAUGCUAUUAGUAGCAAACGAACUUCGUUGUCACUCAUUUGUUUUCGAUGAUGGAGCCUCUAAAUUGACGGUCAGCACCGUUGAACAUAAUCUAUACCACUUGAAGUAUCUAAAAACCAAAUUUCAUGAUUUUUCUAUAUUGUUCUCUUGUCCAUCAAGUGGAUAUAAAGAUGAACGGCCGAAAAUUAAUAUUUUUUAAAAAGUGAUGAUAGGAGUCUUGUAAUCAAGAUCAAGAGUAUAGAUCUUAUUUUAAAUAGUUUAAAAAAUUUUCUAAUAAAAAUUUAAUUGAUUUGGAUAUUUUCACGUGCGUCUCAUAUGGACAAUUAAAAUUGUAAAUUUUAAAACCCUUUGAUCAUUAGGCUAAUGAUGUUGAAAAGAUUUGAAAUUUAGCUUUUAGGUACUUCAAGUAGUAUAAAAUCAUGUUUAACGAUACCGAUCUUUAUCUGAAAGGCUGGUCGGAGCUG
RNAcentral lists this long non-coding RNA (664 nucleotides) under Ananas comosus (pineapple). RNAcentral's name for it is "long non-coding RNA (ACOM_LNC033241)". Lineage: Eukaryota; Viridiplantae; Streptophyta; Magnoliopsida; Poales; Bromeliaceae. The record is from RNAcentral.